Poeciliopsis prolifica (blackstripe livebearer) is the source of this 929-nucleotide long non-coding RNA. RefSeq lists it as uncharacterized. The record is from RefSeq and is a predicted model, not a curated record. The transcript has 3 exons. Lineage: Eukaryota; Metazoa; Chordata; Actinopteri; Cyprinodontiformes; Poeciliidae.
CCACCUAACAAUUUAAAAUGUGGAUGAAAUUGAGAUCACUGUUAACAGUAACCUCAGUUACCUAAGAAUAUACAUUUCUUCUGUCUUCAGUAUUAUGUAUUUUCCAGGCACAUAGUGCCUAUGUUACCUUCAGCUGUUAUAGAAAUACUGUAUAUAUAAAAAAUGACAUAAAAUACAUUUUACAUCAUAAUUUAACAUCUAGAAAUUGGGACUUUUCUUGCAUUCAGCACAUCAUCACUUUGCCGCUCAAGAAGACCUUUAAUAAGGCUGCAGCUCCAACAAUGAGCUUUUUAGACAUAGACUUGGUAAAACAAAGAUUUUUACACCGUCGACAUGCAAGAUUAAAGGAUUUCUCAAACUUUCACAACAGAAUUGAGGCAACACUCCAGUGCAGCUACAUUGAAUGAAUAUCAGUCAGAUGACAGACAUUGAAACAUUUUACAAACUGCUGGUUGCUUCUGUUCUCUGUGAUUGUCGAUGACGAAGAGAAGAUUGUGAAAGACUUGGAACAGUGGUCCAUCAUGUACCACAAUCAUUUCUCUAUUCAAAGAUUCAAGGAUGGCCUUUCAACCCUGGAUUUCAUUUUUGCUUUGGAGCUUCAAUUUCUAAGUCCACCAUGUUUUCUAGUCUUGUGUAGUUUUCCACACAGGAUUCACCAAGUCAGUGGAUGCACUGGGCCACUGUCUCUGGAGGUCCUCAAACUGUCCCUAAAGACGGUCAUGGCCACAUUGACUGCUGUUGGACUCGGUCAUAAAUUCCCAGUUUCUCCUGGGAAUCUGGGAACCCACAGCCUAUUCUGCCAAACUGAGGAGUAAAAUAUGUACAAGACACAUAGCUUGGUUAUUUAUUGACAUUUGUUCAUUCAACUGUGACUUGAAACUGUAAUAACUAUUGUUGAAAAAUGUUGUAAUGCUUAAUUGUAUUUAUGU